This 867-nucleotide long non-coding RNA is filed under the name Struthio camelus australis. RNAcentral describes it as "lncRNA (ENSSCUG00000007388.1)". The record is from RNAcentral. Lineage: Eukaryota; Metazoa; Chordata; Aves; Struthioniformes; Struthionidae.
AAAAAGAAUUCUGGUUUAAAACAUAACGUGCUGACAGCAGCUGAAAUCUCUCCAAUGACCUAUCUAGUCUGGACUAUCCGGUGUAUCUUCUGCAUAAUUAUCUAUACUGGGAUCUUCUGGGAACAGGUGUUACCUGAGUCAAAAGGACAUAUCACAUGCUAAAGGCAGAAUCCUUCUGACAGCAUGAUCAUCACCGUCCUCUGAGUGCUGCAGAGUAGCUAUGCCAUGCAUUAAAUAGAUGAUUGGAUCUUUCUAAUGCCAAUGCAUCUUUAUGGGUAUCUAAAUGAAAUGCAAGACUCCCACCUCCUGAGUGAGUGCACAGUCUCUGGACUAUAAAGUCUUGUAGCUGCUUAUAUUCUGACCCUUGCAUUUAAUAGCUGCAAUGUGAAAGUGUAAACACCACCAGCUACUAAAGCUAACCUGCCAUCUAACAUGGAGGUGCUUCUCUAGGAGGUGAGAGAAGUGAUCUCGACUCCCUAAAGCUUCUAAGUAUGCAGAACCUUCUGCUUUUUGGGAAAAUGAUCCUUUGUACCUACUCAGGAGAGAAGGUAUGUUCGCUUCAGAUUUAAAUUAAUUCUAUAAUUUAGUUCUUCUGCUGGCUUGCUCUAGGUAGGUCACUGCUGAGUAUGCUAAAUGUUUUCGUUAACAUUUGCAGGGAUGUAUUUCUCAUCAGAUGUGAAGAAUGCGAUGCUGGAGAGUUGUGGUGUUCACACAGAGCUCUGGAUUCUUUCCAGAAGGUCUGAGAAGAACACAAAUUUCUGUGUGUGGUCUAUAUGCUAAAGAAUUAGCUUUGGAUUUACUACCAUGGAAUCCAAUCUUUCACAUAUCUGGUGAGAACACUAUAACUGAUAACAUCUGGAACUGCAC